ACAACCUCGAUUUCUUAUAGUCCAGCUUAUCUGCUUUUCAUGGGGAAUUCAAAAGCAAGGGCAUAAGGUGUCACCACAGAGGAUCAUGUGGCUCCAUCUCACCUCAUCCCAACCAUCUUUUUUUUGUCACACCACCCCUCUGCAUGUCCUCCUUCACUGAAUCCACGAACCUCCUCUGUGGUUUUCCUCUUUUCCUCUUGCCUGGCAGCUCCAUAUUCAACAUCCGUUCUCCAGUAUAUCCACAAUCCUUCCUCUGCACAUGACAAAACCAUGUCAGUUUUCCAAAGAAAAUUAUCCCCUAUUAUCCCCUGUUCCACUAUUGGGAUCACUGUGAGGAGUCAGAAGUAUGAAUUUUAUAGGUGCAUCAUAAAUGAAGACAUUAAAAGACUUAAUCGGC
Astatotilapia calliptera (eastern happy) is the source of this 397-nucleotide long non-coding RNA. The record is from Ensembl. NCBI's taxonomy places the organism in Eukaryota, Metazoa, Chordata, Actinopteri, Cichliformes, Cichlidae.